RNAcentral lists this ribosomal RNA (509 nucleotides) under uncultured bacterium. RNAcentral describes it as "bacterial SSU rRNA". It matches the Rfam family "Bacterial small subunit ribosomal RNA", at positions 8 to 493 of the family's 1533-position model. The record is from RNAcentral.
AGAGUUUGAUCCUGGCUCAGAACGAACGUUGGCGGCGUGCUUAACACAUGCAAGUCGAACGAGAACGUCCCGGCUUGCCGGGAUUAGUAAAGUGGCGCACGGGUGAGUAACACGUGAGUAAUUUCCCUCUAAGCUUGGGAUAACACUGCGAAAGCGGUGCUAAUACCGAAUAAGACCACGGUAUCACAUGAUACAGUGGGAAAAGGUGGCCUCUGUAUAUGCUAUCACUUGGAGAUAAGCUCGCGGACCAUUAGCUUGUUGGUAGGGUAACGGCCUACCAAGGCCGAGAUGGUUAGCUGGUCUGAGAGGAUGAUCAGCCACACUGGAACUGAGACACGGUCCAGACUCCUACGGGAGGCAGCAGUGGGGAAUAUUGCGCAAUGGGGGAAACCCUGACGCAGUGACGCCGUGUGAGUGAUGAAGUUUUCGGAUCGUAAAGCUCUGUCAGAUGGGAAGAAUAAAGGCAGGGAAAUAUUUCUGCCUGAUGACGGUACCAUCAGAGGAAGCAC